This 449-nucleotide ribosomal RNA is filed under the name Stenotrophomonas sp. SAM-B. Its description in RNAcentral is "bacterial SSU rRNA". It matches the Rfam family "Bacterial small subunit ribosomal RNA", at positions 351 to 793 of the family's 1533-position model. Lineage: Bacteria; Pseudomonadati; Pseudomonadota; Gammaproteobacteria; Lysobacterales; Lysobacteraceae. The record is from RNAcentral.
GCAGUGGGGAAUUUUGGACAAUGGGGGAAACCCUGAUCCAGCCAUGCCGCGUGAGUGAAGAAGGCCUUCGGGUUGUAAAGCUCUUUUGUCCGGAACGAAACGGUUGGCGUGAAUAUCGCGACUACUGACGGUACCUGAAGAAUAAGCACCGGCUAACUACGUGCCAGCAGCCGCGGUAAUACGUAGGGUGCGAGCGUUAAUCGGAAUUACUGGGCGUAAAGCGUGCGCAGGCGGUUAUGCAAGACAGAUGUGAAAUCCCCGGGCUCAACCUGGGAACUGCAUUUGUGACUGCAUAGCUAGAGUACGGUAGAGGGGGAUGGAAUUCCGCGUGUAGCAGUGAAAUGCGUAGAUAUGCGGAGGAACACCGAUGGCGAAGGCAAUCCCCUGGACCUGUACUGACGCUCAUGCACGAAAGCGUGGGGAGCAAACAGGAUUAGAUACCCCUGUAG